UGAACGCUGGCGGCAGGCCUAACACAUGCAAGUCGAGCGGUAGCACAGAGAGCUUGCUCUCGGGUGACGAGCGGCGGACGGGUGAGUAAUGUCUGGGAAACUGCCUGAUGGAGGGGGAUAACUACUGGAAACGGUAGCUAAUACCGCAUAAUGUCGCAAGACCAAAGUGGGGGACCUUCGGGCCUCAUGCCAUCAGAUGUGCCCAGAUGGGAUUAGCUAGUAGGUGGGGUAAUGGCUCACCUAGGCGACGAUCCCUAGCUGGUCUGAGAGGAUGACCAGCCACACUGGAACUGAGACACGGUCCAGACUCCUACGGGAGGCAGCAGUGGGGAAUAUUGCACAAUGGGCGCAAGCCUGAUGCAGCCAUGCCGCGUGUGUGAAGAAGGCCUUCGGGUUGUAAAGCACUUUCAGCGGGGAGGAAGGCGUUAAGGUUAAUAACCUUGGCGAUUGACGUUACCCGCAGAAGAAGCACCGGCUAACUCCGUGCCAGCAGCCGCGGUAAUACGGAGGGUGCAAGCGUUAAUCGGAAUUACUGGGCGUAAAGCGCACGCAGGCGGUCUGUCAAGUCGGAUGUGAAAUCCCCGGGCUCAACCUGGGAACUGCAUUCGAAACUGGCAGGCUAGAGUCUUGUAGAGGGGGGUAGAAUUCCAGGUGUAGCGGUGAAAUGCGUAGAGAUCUGGAGGAAUACCGGUGGCGAAGGCGGCCCCCUGGACAAAGACUGACGCUCAGGUGCGAAAGCGUGGGGAGCAAACAGGAUUAGAUACCCUGGUAGUCCACGCCGUAAACGAUGUCGAUUUGGAGGUUGUGCCCUUGAGGCGUGGCUUCCGGAGCUAACGCGUUAAAUCGACCGCCUGGGGAGUACGGCCGCAAGGUUAAAACUCAAAUGAAUUGACGGGGGCCCGCACAAGCGGUGGAGCAUGUGGUUUAAUUCGAUGCAACGCGAAGAACCUUACCUGGUCUUGACAUCCACAGAACUUUCCAGAGAUGGAUUGGUGCCUUCGGGAACUGUGAGACAGGUGCUGCAUGGCUGUCGUCAGCUCGUGUUGUGAAAUGUUGGGUUAAGUCCCGCAACGAGCGCAACCCUUAUCCUUUGUUGCCAGCGGUUCGGCCGGGAACUCAAAGGAGACUGCCAGUGAUAAACUGGAGGAAGGUGGGGAUGACGUCAAGUCAUCAUGGCCCUUACGACCAGGGCUACACACGUGCUACAAUGGCAUAUACAAAGAGAAGCGACCUCGCGAGAGCAAGCGGACCUCAUAAAGUAUGUCGUAGUCCGGAUUGGAGUCUGCAACUCGACUCCAUGAAGUCGGAAUCGCUAGUAAUCGUAGAUCAGAAUGCUACGGUGAAUACGUUCCCGGGCCUUGUACACACCGCCCGUCACACCAUGGGAGUGGGUUGCAAAAGAAGUAGGUAGCUUAACCUUCGGGAGGGCGCUUACCACUUUGUGAUUCAUGACUGGGGU
RNAcentral lists this ribosomal RNA (1459 nucleotides) under uncultured organism. RNAcentral's name for it is "SSU rRNA". It matches the Rfam family "Bacterial small subunit ribosomal RNA". The record is from RNAcentral.